UGGUGGUGUCACGACAAGUAAUUUCAUCUUCUUUUUUUUUUUCCUUUUAUCUAUGGUGUAAAAAGAACGUAUAUAAUCAUGGAAUUCUUCUAUAAAUUAAAGGUUUCAGAUGUUGAAGUUCUCAUAAGUGCCAAGCAAAAAGAAAUCAUAUCACUAAAAACUGCAAAAAGAAAAUGGAGAAGUCAUCAUGCUUUAAGCUGGUUUUCUUAGUCUUUCUGUUGCUCAACAUUUCAGGCUCGUUCUCUCUUUAACUUUUGUUAUGCUCACUAGCUAUGAAGUAUCAUAUAUGUGGAGGAAUGCUAAAUUACUAACAAUUAGCCGGCCUUAGUGUCCAAUAAUAAUGCGGAUUGUUUGAACUAAUAAUUAGGACCUUUUCAUAUCUCCUCAUUAUUAUUAGUACAUCUUUGAUAAGAUUGCCUAUUAUAAAAUUCACAAAGUCUUAAAUAAGACAGUCUCACGUUAGUCUUAACGUGAGAUCUGGCCAGUCCAAGAGAUAUAUAUUUUUAGAAAACGGAUCACGUCUCACAAAUUCUCACGAUAAUAUUUUGGCGAAUUAGUUAAUAUUUUUGGCGAAUUAGUUAAGUAUUUUAGCACAAUAGUUUAAAGCUGGUAAUUUUUAUGUAGACUUCCAUUGUUUUUUAGUUAACAUAUUCAAUACAUCAGUUAGUGUUGUUCUAUAAUUAGUUAAGAUUUUUUUUUUUUUUGAGGGGAAUUAGUUAAGAUUAAUUGAGCAUUAUUUUGGUUUCUAAUAUAAACGAAGAAACAACUUUUUACAAAUCUAAAAUGUGAAAUACAAAAGACAACUUGAAAAAAUAACUUAAAACAACCUAGCAUUUGGAGUAACUAUUGUACCAAUUUCAAUUUGGUUCUUGAAUUUUUUUCUUUUAGUCUUCUCAAAAUGACUUUUCUUUCUUGCACUUCCUCUCUUUGUUUUUGAACCAUACGGGUAUAAAAUAACCAAUAUAGUUGUACUUCAUGAGUAUCGUUCUUCUAUGAUUGGUUUCAUAUUUUAAGACUUUGUUUAUAAUUGCAGUAGUAUUUUUGUAGACUUCUUGGAAUGCCUUUCUUGCAUCUUCAUUAUCUUAACUUUUGAGAAUGAGAUUGUAGAACUAAUUUUAUCGCAGUUUCAUGUUGCCAUGGGGUUACAUUGGUUUAUCUAUUCAUUUUGCUUUUCCACACUUUCCUCUUAACAUAUCUAAUCCAUCUCAAGCCCGCCCGGGCUGCUCCUCCUUGACUCGUCUUCGAGCCUCUUCUUCGCCUAGCUUGCUUCACUAUCUCCACAAAACCCCAAUAUACACAACCCAACACGCUUCUUUAAUCACUAAUAUCUUUAGUUGUACAAACGAAAAAAAUAUAAAAAGAGUUAUAAUUUGAUAGUAUGUAUCGAGAAGAAUCUAACAAGAUCCCACUUGACUAUGUUUUUCUUUAUAUAAUGGCGAUAAAUCGGAUUCAAAAUUAAUCAGUGAAUAGUAUCAUUUCACCUAAUGUUUCAUUUAAAAUAGAAUAGAGGAAGUAGGAGCCUUAUAGAAUUAUUAUAAGGACAUUUAUUUUUUGAAUUCUAAUGAACUCUUCAAUGCGUAAGUAAUAUAUUUCACCUGAUAAUAUUAAUAAAAAAGAACAAUAAAAAUGUUAAUUUAGUCAACGACUUUUCUGAAUGAACUCAAUAGGGAUAUUGUUCAGUUUUAAAAAUUAGCGGCUUAUCAUCUCCCUAAUUAAAAAAACGACAUAAUUAUUUGAAAUCAUAUUUGUAGAAGCUUUCACCUAAAGCAAAAAAAAAAAAAAAAAAAAAAAAAAUAGAUCGUGUAAUUAUUUUAUAUUACGAUCAACCCAAUUGUAGUAGAUUUUUUUUGAUCAAUAACAGAUCUUGUGUUAGUUUAUAAUUAAUCAAGAUAACUUAUAGUAAACUCAUGAUCCAAUUUUUUCCUAUCCGUAUAAACAGCUUCAACACUUGCAAGAAUGCAACCAACUAUAAUGGAAGAACUUACAAAGGAACAAGUUCUUGAAGAACUUGGUGCUUACAAGCAGAUAAUA
Beta vulgaris subsp. vulgaris (sugar beet) is the source of this 2031-nucleotide long non-coding RNA. RefSeq lists it as uncharacterized. NCBI's taxonomy places the organism in Eukaryota, Viridiplantae, Streptophyta, Magnoliopsida, Caryophyllales, Amaranthaceae. The record is from RefSeq and is a predicted model, not a curated record. The transcript has 2 exons.